AGUACUGAAAGGUGUUACCAAAGCGUUGUGUCCUGAAGCUGCUCAUUGAGCAGCAUCUUAUUUUAUUUCUUCCUUCACAGCAAAAGACCAUGGAGUCCUCCAAGACCUCGAAGAACCCCAGGACAGCAUCUGAGGUCACCAAGGAGUGGCUGGAAGCUGUCUUGUGUCAGUAUGAGUCCAAAACUAGGCCCAGGUCAACUGUGAAGGUGAACUCCUUCGAGGUCAAUCCAGGCUGUCCGAAGGGUGAAAACUUCAGUAGCGACGUGAUGAGGAUCGUGGCUGAGGGCCAGGUGACGCCAGCGGGAGGCACACCUUCGCCCGCCCACUACAGCUUCAUUGCCAAGUUUCUCACCGGCAGCGAGUUCGAGCAUACAGUAGCAAAAGAGUUCGGGGCACCGCAGAGGGAGUUAAUUACUCUUUCCGAAGUCGUGCCAACCUUAAACGCUUUCCAGGAAGAGCGAGGUGGUGGCAAGUAUCACAUUAACGCGCCUGACUACGUGUACGGCGUGUGCGAAGGUAGCGAAUACUUAUUGAUGAUGCAGGACUUCACGGAGGCCAGGUUCAAAGUCGGGGAUAAACGACGUGGUUUGAGUGUUUUGCAGCUCGAGACAGCAGUACGGCACUUGGCCCAUCUCCACGCUGUCUCCUACGCCUUCAACCGCAACCACAAUUUCCUGGCUAAAUACCCACGCUUCGUAACACCUCCACUCAUGAACAGUUUGAUUGGAACGUUUGUUCGGGUGAUCUUAGAGGGUAUUAUGGAGAACUUUUUAAAGGAUCGGGAGGAGGAGUUCCCAGGUGUGCUAAAGACCCUCACCUCCAACAAAGAUAAACUUGUCAGUAAAAUAGUAGACAUUCUAACUGUCACCGGGAAGGAAUCAAUCGUAUGUUUGUGCCAUGGGGACUACUGGACCAACAACUUCAUGUUUAAAUAUGACGAAGAAGGCGUCGUGGAAGAUUUCGCAAUGAUCGACUGGGGGAACGUUGGGUGGCGAAACCCCAUUAUAGACCUUCUUUACGUCAUCCACACAUCCACGCACCAGGAUCUAAGACGGGACCACCUGAGGGACGUGCAGAAGCUUUAUUACGACACCUUCACCUCCGCUGCCGCCAACAUGGGUGCACCCUUGCUACACUGGAGAUUCGAGGACUUCCUGCAGGAAUACCAGAAGUUAGCCGUGAUAGGUUUGGUUAUGGGUAUCCUUGUCAACAUGGUGACACUUUCAGCGUCCGGGAAAAAAUUAAGCCAAGGCAGCCUCAGCACGGGCUUCAUCUCCUGGCUGAAAGUGAAGUCUGCCAAGGCGAUGAUGUCCUUGCCAAAUUCGUUACUGGUUAAGAUGGGAUACUUGAGCAUAAAGAAAGACUGGAAAUUUUACUUCGAAGAGCUGUCAUCUAUGAAAAACCCUGAGAUGACAACUCGUGUGACGGAUUUAAUAACUGAAGCAUAUCGGAACGGUGUGCUGAAUGUAUAACCCUACUGCCCCAAACUCUGUAUAAUAACCUCUGUCAUAAAAGUUAAUUAUCCUUAUAAGAUCAAUAGUGAUAGAAAAAAAGGACAUCGAUAAAUAGUCUUGCUUAACCCUUUCAGUGCCAUGACGAGUUAGCGAUUUUAUAGCUUCAGAAACUUAGGUUAAGAUUACAUUAAUAAAGACGUCCAUAGACUCUUACUAAUGCAAAUAGAAUUGUUUCAUCUUACCCAAAAAUCAUAUUAAAAAUGCUUCUCAGUAUUGAAGGGAUUAAAAGCCGCGAGAAAACUUUCGUAUUCACCUCUGUAUGAUGUACUUUGCGUUUUCCUUUAUUCAUAAGUCUUGGAAUAGUACAUCAGAUGCCAGGUCAACCGAUCAGAGGACUUGAUAUUGAAAGGAGACACUGAAACCACAAGAAAUGAUGGUAGGACGUUCGCCCGUAUUCAGAAUCCCUUGCUCUCUCACCACCAAGGCCACAGAGACAACUAUAGCCGGGUUUUCAAGACAGUUUCUCCUUAUAAUAAACUAGAAAUCUUGCCAAUCCAUCACCAGAAACGUAAAAAUAUCCCUGAAAACACGAGUAUCUUUAACUAGAGCCUUUGGAAAAGUGGUGAUGGUGAGACAGUAAAGCGUUUCAGAGUACGAGCCGUUGUUUGACUUGUUCUUGACCGUAUAAUUAUAACCAACACGAGUUUAUCAGUCCUUAACAUCUGCACACUAUCAGAUCACUACGACCAGAUAGUUUAUCGAUGAGGGUUUUUCAUACAUCGUCUGCAUUUAGUCUUAUCUGUCGGGCAAGGAGGCUACCAUAUCUCACGUCCUCACCCUGUCCGUGGAUCUGCGAGCAUUUUGUGGCAGGGUAUCACCAAUGUGUGAAGGUUCGAAACUCAUUCAACGCAGACGUGACGCGCACCUCGCCUAGCGCCACGCCAGACGGUAGCCGAGGAAGGAUAUACACGGAAGCUUAAGGCACCGGUCAGCGGGGGAGACAGAGGGCAGGAGUCUGUUGAGAUUACCAGUUGUUUGGCAGU
Molecule: RNA transcript, 2497 nt
Organism: Portunus trituberculatus (swimming crab)
Lineage: Eukaryota; Metazoa; Arthropoda; Malacostraca; Decapoda; Portunidae
Exons: 5
Source: RefSeq, a predicted model, not a curated record